This is a long non-coding RNA of Olea europaea var. sylvestris, 793 nucleotides long. RefSeq lists it as uncharacterized. NCBI's taxonomy places the organism in Eukaryota, Viridiplantae, Streptophyta, Magnoliopsida, Lamiales, Oleaceae. The transcript has 4 exons. The record is from RefSeq and is a predicted model, not a curated record.
GCUCAGGAACAAAUGCAGAACAAGAACAGCAAAUAUUUGAGAGAGGGGGUUAGGGCAUCUGAAUUUAUUCCCUCGUUCAAUCAAAGCCCUAACCUCUCCAAUUCUAUUCUCCGCAUAAGAAAGAAAAAAUAUUCAAUAAUCUUGUUAUAUAUAUAAGCAUAUAUGUCUCCGUAGAUGCAAUAAUUUGGGGAAGAAUUAAAGGAAAAUGAGUGGUCAAGUGGCUCCUAGACGGAACAGUAUGGUUCAGAAGCGGAAUCCGUCUACCCAAAGGAAGUCUUCAGCUCCUCCUUCCAAGAAUGGUGUCGCCUCCAGUGGGGUGCAAACAAAUUCCACCUUCCCUCUUCACUCGCACAGAGAACUUAGAUGAGCUUGUUUCUUCUGUUAUUCAAAGGUUGGGCGGCAUCACGAUCAGCGCCCUCAACUUUUGUAUGAAGACGAUGAUGGCGAUAAAGUUCUACUCACAACAGAUGGAGAUCUUAUUGGUGCAGUUAGCUAUGCGAGAUCAGCUGGACUAAAGGUUCUGAGAUUGCAUGUGGAGUACCACGAUUCAAGCGAUGUUAUGAAAAAGCCGCAGUUGGAAACUGCCACUGUGGGGAGAGCUGGACGGAUCGCUCUUGGCUCUGGGAUUUUUGCUGGAGCAGUUGUUCUUACAAGCAUAGGCGUAUUGGUCUACCUAAAACGCUCAAAAGCAUGAUGUUAGUGACGAAUUAUACUCAACAUUAUAUAUGAUAUCCCACAAUGUGCAUAUAUUGACAGUGGAAAGUUUAAAUUAUGGUUUGGGAGAGCUGCUUUA